CACGUAGGGCGCGAGCGUUGUUCGGAAUCAUUGGGCGUAAAGGGCGUGUAGGCGGCAGCGCAAGCGCGGCGUGAAAGGCCGGGGCCCAACCCCGGGAGUGCGCCGCGGACUGCGCAGCUGGAGCGGCCGGGGGGCAGCCGGAAUUCCUGGUGUAGGGGUGAAAUCUGUAGAUAUCAGGAGGAACACCGAUGGCGAAGGCAGGCUGCCGGCGGACCGCUGACGCUGAGGCGCGAAGGCGCGGGGAGCGAACAGG
This 253-nucleotide ribosomal RNA is filed under the name uncultured bacterium. RNAcentral describes it as "partial 16S ribosomal RNA". It matches the Rfam family "Bacterial small subunit ribosomal RNA", at positions 524 to 776 of the family's 1533-position model. The record is from RNAcentral.